This 435-nucleotide ribosomal RNA is filed under the name Triticum aestivum (bread wheat). RNAcentral describes it as "partial small subunit ribosomal RNA". The record is from RNAcentral. Lineage: Eukaryota; Viridiplantae; Streptophyta; Magnoliopsida; Poales; Poaceae.
GCCGCCGCGGGGCAGCCGAAGAAGAGGACGUUCCGCAAGUUCAGCUACCGCGGCUUCGACCUCGACGCGAUCCUCGACAUGUCCGCCGAGGACCUCAUCCAGGUCCUCCCCGCCCGCACCCGCAGAAGGUUAUGCAGAGGGUUCAAGAGGAAGCAAUUGAUGCUCAUCAGGAGGCUGCGCAAGGCCAAGGCGGAGGCAUCUGCUGGUGAAAAGCCAGGGGUUGUGAAGACUCGUCAGCGCAACAUGAUCAUCGUGCCAGACAUGGUAGGCAGCCAGAUCGCGGUGUACAAUGGGAAAACCUUCAACCAGGUUGAGAUCAAGCCCGAGAUGAUUUGCCACCACCUCGCCGAGUUCUCCAUCAGCUACAAGCCCGUCAAGCACGGGAGGCCCGGCAUCGGCGCCACCCACUUCUCGAGGUUCAUUCCUCUCAAGUGA